GCUGAACUUAAGCAUAUCAAUAAGCGGAGGAAAAGAAACCAACAGGGAUUGCCUCAGUAACGGCGAGUGAAGCGGCAAAAGCUCAGAUUUGAAAUCUGGCGUCAUAUUGGCGUCCGAGUUGUAAUCUGUAGAGGAGUAUUCGAGUGUGGCGCUGGCUUAAGUUCCUUGGAACAGGACGUCAUAGAGGGUGAGAACCCCGUUAACGGCCUUUGUCUUAUGCUCAUGUGAAUCUCCUUCAACGAGUCGAGUUGUUUGGGAAUGCAGCUCUAAAUGGGUGGUAAAUUCCAUCUAAAGCUAAAUACUGGCAAGAGACCGAUAGCGCACAAGUAGAGUGAUCGAAAGAUGAAAAGAACUCUGAACAGAGAGUUAAAUAGUACGUGAAAUUGUUGAAAGGGAAGCACUUGCUACCAGACACGCCUGUAGUUGAUCAACCUUCAUUCUUGAUGGUGCACUCAGCUAUAGGUGGGUCAGCAUCAGUUAUGGCGGUGGGAUAAAGACUUGGGGAAUGUGGCUUCUUUCGGGAAGUGUUAUAGCCCCGGGUGUAAUACCAUCUGCUGUGACUGAGGACCGCGCUUCGGCGAGGAUGCUGGCAUAAUGGUCGUAAGUGACCCGUCUUGAAACACGGACCAAGGAGUCUAACAUCUAUGCGAGUGUUUGGGUGUCAAAACCCUUACGCGGAAUGAAAGUGAAUGUAGGUGGGAACCGCAAGGUGCACCAUCGACCGAUCCUGAUGUCUUCGGAUGGAUUUGAGUAGGAGCAUAGCUGUUGGGACCCGAAAGAUGGUGAACUAUGCCUGAAUAGGGUGAAGCCAGAGGAAACUCUGGUGGAGGCUCGCAGCGGUUCUGACGUGCAAAUCGAUCGUCAAAUUUGGGUAUAGGGGCGAAAGACUAAUCGAACCAU
This 900-nucleotide ribosomal RNA is filed under the name Peziza nivalis. RNAcentral describes it as "eukaryotic LSU rRNA". It matches the Rfam family "Eukaryotic large subunit ribosomal RNA", at positions 27 to 943 of the family's 3401-position model. The record is from RNAcentral. Lineage: Eukaryota; Fungi; Ascomycota; Pezizomycetes; Pezizales; Pezizaceae.